Molecule: long non-coding RNA, 2927 nt
Organism: Musa acuminata AAA Group (dessert banana)
Lineage: Eukaryota; Viridiplantae; Streptophyta; Magnoliopsida; Zingiberales; Musaceae
Exons: 5
Source: RefSeq, a predicted model, not a curated record
CACCCUCCCCAUUGCACAGUAAAUUUCCUCAGCGCUCCCAUGAUACACUGAGUCGGUCGCGCCCUUCUCGUCCGCCGCCACCACCGGUAAUGGCCGUCACCAAAUCAUCCGCGGCCCCGGCCUCCCUUCCGGGGGACGAAAGAACCCCAAUCUCACCGUCCUGUGCAUGGCGAACCAGCGGUGGUGAAGAUAUGGCGAGGCAGAGGUGUCCGAGAUGCUUCUCACCGCCUACAGUAUACCAUCCUCCCUUAGGCCUCCCUCGGCGCCGACCGCUACGUCACCUCCCUCACCACCAUUAGUGACGUUGAAGUCUACAGCGACCUCCGGGUCAUUCAACAUCCAUCAUCUCGAUUAAUUCGAUACCUUUUAUGGUGGGUUUUUCUAAUCUAUCCUAGAUUUGCUAGCUAACAACAAUCCACGCUAUCAAUUCCUUCUGUUGUUCGUUGACGAUGGCACAUUGAGGACAAUAUGUGAACCCUGUGAAGUUUGUCCAAGCAUCCGGCAUAGCAAAUCAGUUCAGGUAUUUCACCGAUGCAUCUCUCUUAAUCUCAUCCACAUAUGGGAGGACUUCUAAUUGAUUGGCUUAGGGCACAUUCUUGGUUGCUCGAGGUAACUUUGGGGUUGAUUCUCACUUUUGCAGUGCAGGAAAACUACAAUGUUGAGCAAUAUCGGAUAAUAACCUAAUUGGGAUUCAGCCUCCCAUAAAUUUUAGUGUUUGACUCUAUUGAUCUGAGAGCAGUCUUAUGAGUCAUUAUAGCAAGGGCACAGGUUGAGCACUUCCAUUUUACUUCAUUAUCUUCUCUUUCAUAGUUAAUCAAGUCCCUUGGUCUCAUAAUCAUAUUCUUGCCUGGCUAUAUCCACUGUUUUUCAAAAUUCUUAGGCUCAGAAAACACAUGACCUACGAUUACAUUCUCGUUCAUUCAUGCUUGGCUUCAAAAUGGUUUUAAGAGCAUUGAUUUGAUUCAGGUAGUGAUUGGAUGUGAUAUUUUAGGUUUCAGCUAAACUGAAACCUACGAAAUCAUUGUUUAAGAAGCAGCAUUAGUAAAUUAUAAUGAUCCCUGAGGUCAUGGCCCAAAAAGGGAUUUGCAUUUUGGAAUCCCUAGUCCCAUGCAAUGAAGCCUCAUCAAGAAGAGAUGUGAUUUGAAAUAGGAGAAGAGGAAUGCAUGUUUAAACCAAUUUGCUGGUAGACUUUAGAUGAGAAAGAAGAAUGUAUACAGAGGUGAUGUAUGGCCAACUGGUUCGAGCUGUUAAUUCAUGAAAUGUUUGGCUUGAAUCUAGAGAAUAGACAAGAUGUACAAAGGUAUUAGAGAACAAAUUUGUCCCUACAUGCUAUGCAUUGGCAAUAAUAAUUUGUAAAUGUCCUGUGGUUUUUACUGCGAACCAUCGAGGUUUCUAGAUCUGUUUUCUGAUAAAGAAAGACUUGUGGUGUUCUAGUUAUUUAUUCAUAGCUUUACUUCCUAAUGUCAGGUCUCAAGUAUAAGUCCCUCAAAAAUUAGUUUAUUUCAACUGAGCCUUGUUUAGUGUAUCUUUAAGAAUAUGGUAGGAUUAUAUAAAGUUCCCUAAUCAACUGUUAGACCAUUAAAAAGUGGGCUUCAGGUAGGUUUUUUUCUUUUUCUUCCAGAACAGGUUGAGAUUAUUAUUGCUGGACACAGAAGUCAAAUCCCAAGUAUGUAUUUAGUGAACCGGUGAGACGUAUGAAGUUGUGCCUAACUCCUAGAACGUGUUUCAUAAACAGCUUGAUCUAGGAGUAUCAAUCAACGUCUUGACUGAACCCUCAUUGUUAUGCAUCGAGAUAUGAAACCCAGUGUUGGACUUGUACAUUUGGAAUCUUAUGGUGUUAAUUCUCUAGCAUAGAUGAAUUCAUUGGAAUUCAAUGAGCAUGCCUAAUUUGAAUGGAUUUGAGCUCUAUAAGGAGCUUUCUUUGAAGGAAAAAAAAUUUGAGUUUAAUGCCUUUGUGAAUAAGCACCCAUCCAAAAAAUAAAAGGUGCACCCAUCAAGAAUUGAAUUUGCAUUUAUUGGCUCCCAAGAUCAAUUGAAUUUGCAUCCUUCUCAUUCUUAGGUAAUCUUGAGUGACUGUAUGGUGUGAGUUGAACUUUAUAUUAUCUUUUUUAUUCUUGUUAAUUAGCAAGAAAUGCUUAUUACACCUUAUUCUCAAAAUUUUCUGCUGUACGUGUUAGCCAUAUUUGACAGGUUAAAGGAAGAGAAGAAAGGUUUAGAGGGUCAACAUGUUGACCAGAUUGAACCAUUGAAUUCAUCUAAAGAAGAUGGAGACAGCCAAAAGGAUGGCUAAGAUGAAGGCAUCAUUAAUAUAAAGUAGGGAUGCCUGCAGCACAGGACUUGAUGGAGCUUUGGUUUGAAAUCCACAUGAGCUGCUUGCCAUACAAAAAGGAAAUCUUCUGGACCUAUGGUUUCAAAUCCACAUUGGUUGAGUUUGGAUCAGAUUCCAAGAUUGAAGAGUAGAUCAAUGCCUACGUUUCUUAGGAUAAUGCUGCCUAACCUUGAGAUGGAUCUCUGAUGACAGGAGGAACAGGUUUAUGCUACUCCAUAUAUUUGAUUUACUCUUGUAAGAUCAGUUCAUGCAAUCAUAGCAGCAUCAUAGCUCAGAGGUGAUGCUAAUCAAAUUGUGAAAAUGAAAGGCGAUAUUGGUUGACAGUGAAGUAUAAUGAUCGAGCCUGGUUUAGCGUGGUGUUGAUGGAAGACAGGUUUGAUGCCUUGGCUGGCACACCAUGACGCUGGCGAGCCGCAUUCUAUCCAAAGGGAACUACUAGUACAGUGGAAAGCUUCAUCCUUGUGCAUACAAAAACAGACAAGCAAGAGCUUGAUAGAGAAGGGGGAAAAAAUAAAGGCAAAGAACAAGUUAGCUUGUUCCCCAUCUGGACCUUUUGCCAAAGCUAAAGAUAUAGGCACGUAAAGUCACCGCUAGUUCA